Molecule: long non-coding RNA, 1084 nt
Organism: Oncorhynchus mykiss (rainbow trout)
Lineage: Eukaryota; Metazoa; Chordata; Actinopteri; Salmoniformes; Salmonidae
Source: RefSeq, a predicted model, not a curated record
GUGAUUUAUGUGAGAGUGCCAGUGGUGUGUGUGAGUGAGUUUGAAUAUAGUGUGUAUAAUAUAAUCUUGUGAGUCUUGUGGUUCUUGUCCACAUGAACAAUGCUAAUUAAAUGUAUUUUAGAAGGUUACAUUUUAUGACAUUUGUAUAACAGUCACAUGCUAACUGCUAACCGCUCACUAUCUUAGAGGUAGAUACCAUGCAAUUUCGCCUUAGCUUUGUUGAUCUUCUGUUGUUGUUUUCUUUCCAUUGGUUUUUGUAACAUUGAAUACACAUGCCUAAAAGGGAUUUUAAUGUAUUUGAGAAUUUGUUUUGUUUCCAUAUGCUGAAUGGAGAGAAUAAACUGUGCAGACCCGAGGAUGUGCAAAUUACAGAAGAGAUGAACAAGCCUUGGAAUUGUGUGGGUCAACGCUAGAAACAUUGGAGAUGCAAACAGAUGGUGCCUGAAAUCUUAAUGAUAGAAGCAUUAUUUUUUGAAUUUUUGAUGCAUUACUUUUGGUAAUGUACAUUUCUUUCAAAUUUGAUUCACCAUUUCCUUUUUCUUUAAAGAUGUGAAGAUAUAAGAUAGCUUCAUGACUUAGUAAGCUUUGACAGUCAUGUUUGUUUCUAAUUACUUCAAUAGCUCUCUUCAAAUGUGUCUGUCCCCUUUUGUUUCUAUAGGCUUGAGAGAGAAUGUGCUGUGCAUCAUUGGAAGGUCAUAACAUAAUUGAUAGCAGAAAUGAACAAGGCUUGCUAAGAAUUUUGUCCAAGGAAAUAUACUAAAUAAAUAUACUGCAAUCCUUUUUCAGAACAAUGUAUGUCACUUUAAAUUCAAAAUUGCUGAUCUGCAAUUAAUAAUUACCCCUAAUUACUCAUUCCCCUGUCCACAGCAACAUCGAUGGUGCUAACUGAUGGGUGCCUGCCUGAUGUCUGAGGUUCAGUGAGGCUCAGUGUCAGUAUUGAAGAUGUGAAACUAGAUGGAACACCCCACUAGAUGCAAUCAUUCAGUUGCAGAAUUAUUUUAAAUAAAACAUUUACAUAUUAAGGGGUAAUUAAGUGUUUAUUUAUGUUACAUUUAAUUGAACUGCAUGUCAUAUAUAUAUUGUG